AUUAAACGCUGGCGGCAUGCCUUACACAUGCAAGUCGAACGGCAGCACGGGGGCAACCCUGGUGGCGAGUGGCGAACGGGUGAGUAAAGCAUCGGAACGUGCCCUGGAGUGGGGGAUAACGUAGCGAAAGUUACGCUAAUACCGCAUAUUCUGUGAGCAGGAAAGCAGGGGGAUCGCAAGACCUUGCGCUCUGGGAGCGGCCGAUGUCGGAUUAGCUAGUUGGUGGGGUAAAGGCCUACCAAGGCGACGAUCCGUAGCGGGUCUGAGAGGAUGAUCCGCCACACUGGGACUGAGACACGGCCCAGACUCCUACGGGAGGCAGCAGUGGGGAAUUUUGGACAAUGGGCGAAAGCCUGAUCCAGCAACGCCGCGUGAGGGGAAGAAGGCUUUCGGGUUGUAAACCUCUGUCCUUGGUGACGAAAAAAAUGACGGUAGCCAAGGAGGGAAGCCCCCGGGCUAACCUACGUGCCAGCAGCCGCGGUAAU
RNAcentral lists this ribosomal RNA (485 nucleotides) under uncultured bacterium. Its description in RNAcentral is "bacterial SSU rRNA". It matches the Rfam family "Bacterial small subunit ribosomal RNA", at positions 29 to 524 of the family's 1533-position model. The record is from RNAcentral.